RNAcentral lists this ribosomal RNA (469 nucleotides) under Diutina catenulata. RNAcentral's name for it is "eukaryotic LSU rRNA". It matches the Rfam family "Eukaryotic large subunit ribosomal RNA", at positions 73 to 668 of the family's 3401-position model. The record is from RNAcentral. Lineage: Eukaryota; Fungi; Ascomycota; Pichiomycetes; Serinales; Debaryomycetaceae.
AUUGCUCAGUACGGCGAGUGAGCGGCAAAGCUCAAAUUUGAAAUCCUUCGGGAGUUGUAAUUUGUAGAGGGGUGUCUUUGGGGCGGCAUUGUCUAUGUUCCUUGGAACAGGACGUCACAGAGGGUGAGAAUCCCGUGCGAUGAUGCCUCAACCAGUACAAGACCCUCUCGACGAGUCGAGUUGUUUGGGAAUGCAGCUCUAAGUGGGUGGUAAAUUCCAUCUAAAGCUAAAUACUGGCGAGAGACCGAUAGCGAACAAGUACAGUGAUGGAAAGAUGAAAAGCACUUUGAAAAGAGAGUGAAACAGUACGUGAAAUUGUUGAAAGGGAAGGGUAGGAGGUGAGGGGAAGAGCUGCUUAGGCGCGGGAGAUAAACAAGCAGGAAGCGCUUCGGUGCGGCCUGGUAAAUAUCCCGUGCUUGUGUGGUUCUUCCGUAAUCCCCUUCUACCGCCCGUCUUGAAACACGGACCA